Molecule: long non-coding RNA, 856 nt
Organism: Rhinichthys klamathensis goyatoka
Lineage: Eukaryota; Metazoa; Chordata; Actinopteri; Cypriniformes; Leuciscidae
Exons: 2
Source: RefSeq, a predicted model, not a curated record
AUCAUUUCACAGCUGUGGCCAGUCCACAAACGACUUGCACCAUCCUCAGCCUUGCCUUCGUUUAGUUGAGUAGGUUCACCGAUUUUAAAUUUUUGUUUUGUUUUACACUAUCGAUGCAUCAGCACAGCUCAUCUUACCUUACAAUGAAAUGUCUUGUUUAUCUACACACUCAUAAUUUUACAAUAAUGUUGACCCCGCUGAGCUCUUUCACCCCCUUGCAGUAAUGAUUUGGUGUUGUGUGUUUUGGAAAGCCUUAAAGUGUGCAAAGGCAUGACCAAAGACCACCGGAUAAAAAUCUGCUUGCCUUAGAGUGAUAGCAUGACCUGAAAAAAACUCAAACUUUUUUUUGAGGUUAGUCGCAGUUUUAAAUUGGGUCACUGGUUUGACCAUACACAUUUAGGAAAUGCUUCGAAUAGGCUGUUGAAUGACAAAUUUAAGCAGGUAGGGUUUUGGUCAAAAUGCUGGUGUUGUGACAACAGUUCUUGCAUUAACCACGCGCAAUAUGCUUUCCCCGGAUGGUGCAAUGGUUGUGUUGUGCUUUAAGAGCGUGUGUGUGUGUGUGUGUGUGUGUUCAGACUCAACGAGAACUUUCUAGACUCAUAGGAUUAUUUUCACCUUUUUUUUUGAAGAGUCAACUGAUGCAUGAAGAUCCCCAAGUAGAAAACACCAAUCAUUUAUAUGACUACCUGAGACGGGACAACGAUAUAAAAAAAAAUAAGGCCUAUUUUUGUACUAUAUAUGGUGCAUUGUCAUUUACAUGUAAUUUAAAGAUUAUUUUGCUCUUUUUAUUUAAUUGAUGUCAAUAUGCGAAUUAAAGAUUAUACAAAAAAAAUAAAGAUCUAUGCAAACUUCAUAA